RNAcentral lists this ribosomal RNA (460 nucleotides) under uncultured bacterium. RNAcentral describes it as "partial 16S ribosomal RNA". It matches the Rfam family "Bacterial small subunit ribosomal RNA", at positions 338 to 795 of the family's 1533-position model. The record is from RNAcentral.
CCUACGGGCGGCAGCAGUGAGGAAUAUUGGUCAAUGGACGAGAGUCUGAACCAGCCAAGUAGCGUGAAGGAUGACUGCCCUAUGGGUUGUAAACUUCUUUUAUAAAGGAAUAAAACGAGGCACGUGUGCCUGUUUGCAUGUACUUUAUGAAUAAGGAUCGGCUAACUCCGUGCCAGCAGCCGCGGUAAUACGGAGGAUCCGAGCGUUAUCCGGAUUUAUUGGGUUUAAAGGGAGCGUAGAUGGGUUGUUAAGUCAGUGGUGAAAGUUUGCGGCUCAACCGUAAAAUUGCAAUUGAUACUGGCAGUCUUGAGUACAGUUGAGGUAAGCGGAAUUCGUGGUGUAGCGGUGAAAUGCUUAGAUAGCACGAAGAACCCCGAUUGCGAAGGCAGCUUACUAAACUGUGACUGACAUUGAUGCUCGAAAGUGUGGGUAUCAAACAGGAUUAGAUACCCUUGUAGUC